UGUUGAAUAGGGUAGUGGUUAUCCCGCCGGGCUCAUGACCCGGAGAGCGUUGGUUCGAUCCCAACUUCAGCUA
This 73-nucleotide transfer RNA is filed under the name Stigeoclonium helveticum. RNAcentral describes it as "tRNA-Met". It matches the Rfam family "tRNA". From Rfam's summary of the family: Transfer RNA (tRNA) molecules are approximately 80 nucleotides in length. Lineage: Eukaryota; Viridiplantae; Chlorophyta; Chlorophyceae; Chaetophorales; Chaetophoraceae. The record is from RNAcentral.